This 1003-nucleotide ribosomal RNA is filed under the name uncultured bacterium. RNAcentral describes it as "bacterial SSU rRNA". It matches the Rfam family "Bacterial small subunit ribosomal RNA", at positions 353 to 1371 of the family's 1533-position model. The record is from RNAcentral.
AGUGAGGAAUAUUGCACAAUGGGGGGAACCCUGAUGCAGCAACGCCGCGUGGAGGAUGACGCAUUUCGGUGUGUAAACUCCUUUUAUAUGUCAAGAAAAUGACGGUAGCAUAUGAAUAAGCACCGGCUAACUCCGUGCCAGCAGCCGCGGUAAUACGGAGGGUGCAAGCGUUACUCGGAAUCACUGGGCGUAAAGGACGCGUAGGCGGGUUGGAAAGUCUGAUGUGAAAUCCUACAGCUUAACUGUAGAACUGCAUUGGAAACUUCCAACCUAGAGUAUGGGAGGGGGAGAUGGAAUUAGUGGUGUAGGGGUAAAAUCCGUAGAUAUCACUAGGAAUACCGAAAGCGAAGGCGAUCUCCUGGAACAUAACUGACGCUAAGGCGUGAAAGCGUGGGGAGCAAACGGGAUUAGAUACCCCGGUAGUCCACGCCCUAAACGAUGAACACUAGUCGUCGGGAUGCUUGUCAUCUCGGUGAUGCACUUAACAGAUUAAGUGUUCCGCCUGGGGAGUACGGUCGCAAGAUUAAAACUCAAAGGAAUAGACGGGGACCCGCACAAGUGGUGGAGCAUGUGGUUUAAUUCGAAGAUACGCGAAGAACCUUACCUAGCCUUGACAUUGAUUGAAUUCACCAGAGAUGGAGAAGUGCCCUUCGGGGAACAUGAAAACAGGUGCUGCACGGCUGUCGUCAGCUCGUGUCGUGAGAUGUUGGGUUAAGUCCCGCAACGAGCGCAACCCUCGUCCUUAGUUGCCAGCAGGUUAAGCUGGGCACUCUAAGGAGACUGCCUUCGCAAGGAGGAGGAAGGUGAGGACGACGUCAAGUCAUCAUGGCCCUUACGGCUAGGGCUACACACGUGCUACAAUGGGGCGUACAGAGUGUUGCGAUACCGCGAGGUGGAGCUAAUCACUUAAAGCGUCUCUCAGUUCGGAUUGGAGUCUGCAACUCGACUCCAUGAAGCUGGAAUCACUAGUAAUCGUAGAUCAGCAAUGCUACGGUGAAUACGU